AGGCCAUGCUAGGCUGACCAUGGGAGGAGACAGAGAUGCAUUUGCACUUGUUCAUUUUUUGGGCCAAGAAGAACAAGCCUAAUACCUCUUCUAUAUGACCAUCCUUCAAAUAAUCGAAGAUAACCAUCAUGUCCCCUCCCCUUGAAUCUUCUUUUCUCAAGGUUAAACAACCCAAUUAUUUUGGCUUCUCAUAUGACAUCCAUCCUAAGCCCUAAGGAUCAUAUGUCUACAAACUGAGACAACUUUUGCCAUUUUCUAGUCCUGUGGCCCUUGUUCUUCACAACUCUUCAAAGAUCACUAACAAUGGCACAGCAGUCACUUCUUUAAGUUCUUUUAUUACCCUGGGAUUCAUAGAGGCUUGUGGACUUGAAGUCAUAAAAAUCAGCCUCAUCAUAGCAUUGGCAGCAUUUAACAGCUAAGGAA
RNAcentral lists this long non-coding RNA (423 nucleotides) under Monodelphis domestica (gray short-tailed opossum). RNAcentral's name for it is "lncRNA (ENSMODG00000033811.2)". The record is from RNAcentral. Lineage: Eukaryota; Metazoa; Chordata; Mammalia; Didelphimorphia; Didelphidae.